This 380-nucleotide ribosomal RNA is filed under the name uncultured bacterium. RNAcentral describes it as "bacterial SSU rRNA". It matches the Rfam family "Bacterial small subunit ribosomal RNA", at positions 94 to 507 of the family's 1533-position model. The record is from RNAcentral.
AGUGGCGCACGGGUGAGUAACACGUGACUAACCUACCCUGAGUGGGGAAUAACUUCGGGAAACCGAGGCUAAUACCGCAUAAUACCCACGGGUCAAAGGAGCAAUUCGCUUGAGGAGGGGGUCGCGGCCGAUUAGUUAGUUGGCGGGGUAAUGGCCCACCAAGACAGUGAUCGGUAUCCGGCCUGAGAGGGCGCACGGACACACUGGAACUGAAACACGGUCCAGACUCCUACGGGAGGCAGCAGUGGGGAAUUUUGCGCAAUGGGGGAAACCCUGACGCAGCAACGCCGCGUGGAGGAUGAAGUCUCUUGGGACGUAAACUCCUUUCGAUCGGGACGAUUAUGACGGUACCGGAAGAAGAAGCCCCGGCUAACUUCGUG